ACACCUCAACUCUCAUGGCUUGCCAUGACGAGCUUGGACUUUGGGGGUCUUGCCGGCCUGCGGUCGGCUCCUCUCAAAUGAAUCAGCUUACCAGUGUUUGGUGGCAUCACAGGUGUGAUAACUAUCUACGCUUGUGGUUUUCCACCAGGUAACCUUCAGUGAUGGAGGUUUGCUGGGGCUCAUAAACGUCUCUCCUCAGUGAGGACAGCUCUUUGAAC
This 218-nucleotide unclassified non-coding RNA is filed under the name uncultured Thelephoraceae. RNAcentral describes it as "sequence contains ITS2". Lineage: Eukaryota; Fungi; Basidiomycota; Agaricomycetes; Thelephorales; Thelephoraceae. The record is from RNAcentral.